Molecule: RNA transcript, 2986 nt
Organism: Prionailurus viverrinus (fishing cat)
Lineage: Eukaryota; Metazoa; Chordata; Mammalia; Carnivora; Felidae
Gene name: homer protein homolog 1
Exons: 11
Source: RefSeq, a predicted model, not a curated record
AAGCACCACUGAAAUACCUCCAGAAAAGGAUCUCGGGGGGUGGAAAAGCAACUGCGAAAUAGCAGACGGAGAAAUUCCUUUGGAAGUUAUUCUGUAGCAGAAGAGCAGAAACUUCAGAGCAAGUUCUCAUUGGGCAAAAUGGGGGAACAACCCAUCUUCAGCACUCGAGCUCACGUCUUCCAGAUUGACCCAAACACAAAGAAGAACUGGGUACCCACCAGCAAGCAUGCAGUUACUGUGUCUUAUUUCUAUGACAGCACAAGAAAUGUGUAUAGGAUAAUCAGUUUAGAUGGCUCAAAGGCAAUAAUUAAUAGCACCAUCACCCCAAACAUGACAUUUACUAAAACAUCUCAGAAGUUUGGCCAGUGGGCCGAUAGCCGGGCAAACACUGUUUACGGACUGGGAUUCUCCUCUGAGCAUCAUCUUUCAAAAUUUGCAGAAAAGUUUCAGGAAUUUAAAGAAGCUGCUCGACUAGCAAAGGAGAAAUCACAAGAAAAGAUGGAACUUACCAGUACACCUUCACAGGAAUCAGCAGGCGGGGAUCUUCAGUCUCCUUUAACACCAGAAAGUAUCAAUGGAACAGAUGAUGAAAGAGCACCUGACGUGACACAGAACUCAGAACCAAGGGCUGAACCAACUCAGAAUGCAUUGCCAUUUUCACAUAGUUCAGCAAUCAGCAAACAUUGGGAGGCUGAACUGGCUACCCUCAAAGGAAAUAAUGCCAAACUCACUGCAGCCCUGUUGGAGUCCACUGCCAAUGUGAAACAAUGGAAACAGCAACUAGCUGCGUAUCAAGAGGAAGCAGAACGUCUGCACAAGCGAGUGACUGAGCUCGAAUGUGUUAGUAGCCAAGCAAAUGCAGUGCAUACCCAUAAGACAGAAUUAAAUCAGACAAUACAAGAACUAGAAGAGACGCUGAAAGUGAAGGAAGAGGAAAUAGAAAGAUUAAAACAAGAAAUUGAUAAUGCCAGAGAAUUACAAGAACAGAGAGACUCUUUGACUCAGAAACUCCAGGAAGUAGAAAUUCGGAACAAAGACCUGGAGGGACAGCUGUCUGACUUAGAGCAACGUCUGGAGAAAAGUCAGAAUGAACAAGAAGCUUUUCGCAAUAACCUGAAGACACUCUUAGAAAUUCUUGAUGGAAAAAUAUUUGAACUAACAGAGUUACGAGAUAACUUGGCCAAGCUACUAGAAUGCAGCUAAGAAAAGGGCCCUUGCAGGGGUGUUCCUUUGCGAGGGGGAUGAGGGAAAGAAAGGGAAGAGGCUCAGAUGAUUUCACCUGCUGGGUUGCUACAGAGAUCAGUCUGGUCGUCCAGUACGCCAGUCAGAAGUUUAAGGUGCCAAUGGACUAGCCAGAUGGAGAUGUGAGUCUGGAUGGAGCUUAGAAGAAAUAUAUGAACUGGAGAUCGAUGCUUGGGAGCUGUCAGCAUACGUAAUGGUAACUGAGGGCGUGAGAAAUGAGAACACAAGAUAGAAGUGUCACUUCGGGGCAGGUGCAGCACAAAAGCUUGGGAAAGAGACAAGCAAUGGCCAGGAGGGGUGAGUGGAUACACAAAGAGUAGGGACUCAUGGAAGCCUAGAGGAGAGUUUCAAAAAGUCAGAUUUCACACAAAAACAAAGCAACUCAUUUCUUAAGGCAUUGAUAUUCAAACUGUGUUGAAACCCUUUGUUAACAUUUAACCUUUAAAUAUAUUUUAACUGAAAAAAAGUAAAAACCGACCAACUCAAAUAUGUCUCUUAUAACAUGUUAAAACACGGAAAUCCAGCAGACAUCAGUACCAGGUUAACUGUUUUUGUGCAGAGGCCACAGUAAGGCCAUCUCGAUACAUUGAAGAGCAUCUUUGUAUUUCAAGGUGAGUUAUUAAAUAACUCCAUUUCCUAGUGUGAAUUAGGACUUUUUUGAUACUUUGCAACUGAAACAAAUACAGAAAUAGGGUCUACUAAGCUCACGUCACUGUUCCAUAAACCCAGUCUCAAAUGCUUGUUGUUUAUGAAAAUAACUUCACUUUUCUUACUGACUUAUUGAUUAAAUUAAAUGUCAUGCACCACCUUUUCUGUUACUGUGUUUGUUUUCCAUGUAGCUGUCGUUUCCAAAAGGUGGUUGCGAUAGAGGGCCACAGAUGAAAGGAGGUAGACACUUUCCUAGUAGAACUUGGCUUAUUUUUCUGUGACUCCCUUGCCUCUCCUCAAAGUCAAGUUCUAGGGGCUGAAAUGUAUUUCCUGCAUCUUGUUUAAUGUAUUAUUUGGAUGCUUAACUCAUUACUAGGAACAGGUGGUUUUGUGUUUACAUUGCUUUGGGAAGUUUAGAGAGUUAAUACUUAUGUUAUCUUAAAUGACCUUUAUUCUUUUUUUUCAUACUGAUUCGUAAGUAACUGUAUACAAAUUAUUUCUGGUAGACACGAUCUUAAACAAUGACAACAACAACACUCUGUGUAUUUGGUUUCAGACUGUGGUAUGGUGUUUGACUUUUAUUUCUGGUUGAAGUUAAAAUUAGCUUGAAUUCCUUGACUAGACACAGCUUGCACUACCUGGGCAACAAAUGAGCAUGUUAGACAUUCCAGGAAGAAAAGAGGAGCUACUGUUUUUCACAUAUGGCUCCAAGUGAUCCAUAAGAUUUGCAAAUCAUUUGUGCAUUGUGAAAUAAAUUCUAACUUUUAAACCAUUUUUGUUCAUAUUUUUCUAUUUACUGAUUAAUCUUGGUCUCCUUUAGCAGAACCCUUAGAGUAUACUCUGCAUUGAAAUCCCAUGGUAUAUUUCAAAGUAUAAAGCAUAGAACUUCAUGAUCUGUGGCACACUGCCAUCUCACAACAGUCAACAACAAAUUUUCACAACAAUGUCAUGACCUAAAUGUUACUGUUCUCCCCGCUUUGUAGAUUUUACAGAGCCUGAGAUUCCGCAACAUUAAGUGAUUGGCCAAGUCCAGAGGCCACCAAGGAGUAGAAUGCAGGCCCUGUACCUGCUAACCCUGUACCCAUCCCACUCCAUC